GUCUGCUGAAACAAACCCCAAUUAGAAAGCAUCCAUUUUCGUAUCCCAAAAAUUUCAUUAAAUCAAGAAGCAUUCGUGGGUGAAAGCAUUCCUUUCCGUCUUGUAGCCGAGGAUAUUGAAGUGUAGUUCGCUCGCAUUACUCAGUACACAAGAGAGAUCAAGGACAAAUCACCAUACUCAACCUGCUGCUUAUUACUGCAGC
RNAcentral lists this long non-coding RNA (202 nucleotides) under Nicotiana benthamiana. RNAcentral's name for it is "long non-coding RNA (NBEN_LNC042318)". The record is from RNAcentral. Lineage: Eukaryota; Viridiplantae; Streptophyta; Magnoliopsida; Solanales; Solanaceae.